RNAcentral lists this long non-coding RNA (650 nucleotides) under Homo sapiens (human). RNAcentral's name for it is "non-protein coding lnc-RAB6D-15:1". Lineage: Eukaryota; Metazoa; Chordata; Mammalia; Primates; Hominidae. The record is from RNAcentral.
AUGACCAUAAUACAUAAAACAAAUCCACUAAUAAAAAUCAUUAAUUAUUCACUCAUCGACCUCCCCACUCCAUCUCAUAUCUCUAUAUGAUGAAACUUGGGCUGACUUCUUGGCACCUGCUUAAUCCUUCAGAUCAUCACAGGGUUAUAUCUGGCCAUACAUUACACACCAGAUACCUCAAUUUCUUUCUCUUCAGUCGCCUAUAUUAACCGAGAUGUGAACUAUAGCUGAAUUACCCGCUUUUUUCACGCUAACGGUACUUCAACAUUCUUCAUCUGCCUCUUCCUACAUGUCGGCCGAGGCUUAUAUUAUGGCUCAUUCACAUAUUUGGAAACCUGAAACACUGGCAUUAUUCUCUUGCUUACAACCACAGCAACAGCGUUUAUAGGCUAUGUGCUUCCAUGAGGCCAAAUACCAUUCUGAGGCACUACAGUAACCACAAACCUAAUAUCAGCUACUCCAUAUGUCGGGACUGACCUUGCCCAGUGAAUCUGAGGUGAUUUUCAGUUGACAAAGCCACUCUUACACGAUUCUUCACCUUCCAUUUCAUCUUACCUUUCAUCAUUAUAGCCCUAACAAUUCUCCACCUUCUAUUCCUUCACGAAACAGGGUCUAAUAACCCCUCAGGAAUCUCAUCACACUCCGAUAAA